CUCUCAUCCAAUUCCUUUUUCUUUGUGAUAUAAUUAUAUUAAAAAAGAUCCCAAAUUGAUCCAUAAGUAAAACCCCGGACCCCUGAAACCCCAAUCCAUGUCAAAGAUCAAGAAAUUAAGAUUUCCUGGUUCUCAGACGGGCCGCGUAAAGGAUAGGCAGACCCUUACGCGGGCCGCGUCCACUUGAAAGAUGACCGGAUAAGCAUCAAGGGCUACGUGUCAUCUGCAUGGCACACCUACUUGUGACUAGUCAAACCUACGCGUAGACUGGGCGGCCACACGGGCCGCGUAAGGUGUUGCUAAGGUGUUACGCGGGCCGCGACAGACCUUAAAUUCACCUAUAAAUAGCUUAGGUCCCAGGCAGUCCUCUGGUGUAGAAAGUUUCUUUUAGAAACGAAGUUAUACUAUCCAAAUUCGAAUAUUGCUUUCAGGAUAGCGAGGCGCUGCUACGAUACCGGGUUACAAGACUAAUCAAUAGGCUAAGCUCUGCCUGCAAUAUCUAAGCUAACCAAUAGGCUAAACUCUGCCGUAUAAAUCUGCAUGCUUAUAAUGUAAUUACAGUAGAUUGGAGUAAGAGUUGGAUACGACACC
Molecule: long non-coding RNA, 591 nt
Organism: Helianthus annuus (common sunflower)
Lineage: Eukaryota; Viridiplantae; Streptophyta; Magnoliopsida; Asterales; Asteraceae
Exons: 3
Source: RefSeq, a predicted model, not a curated record